RNAcentral lists this ribosomal RNA (598 nucleotides) under uncultured archaeon. RNAcentral describes it as "bacterial SSU rRNA". It matches the Rfam family "Archaeal small subunit ribosomal RNA", at positions 1 to 541 of the family's 1478-position model. The record is from RNAcentral.
UUUCCGGUUGAUCCCUGCCGGACCUUGACUGCUAUUCGGAUUGAUACUAAGCCAUUGCGAGUCAUUUGUAGGUAAUACAAGGGCAGACUGGCUCAGUAACGUCGUUAGUUCAACUCUACCCUAUGGACUGGGAAUAACCUCGGGAAAGCUGAGAAUAAUGCCCGAUAGAACAUUAUGUCCUGGUAAUGGUUUUAUGUUCCAAAUUGAUUUAUCGCUCGUAGGAUUGGGACUUGCGGCCUAUCAGUUGUGUUUGGUGAGGUUAAUGGCCCACCAAUGACUAUUACAGUGUUACGGUGCUCUGAGAGGAGGUAGCCCUGGAGAUGGGUACUUGAGACACUGGACCCAGUGCCCUAUGUGGGCGCAGUCAGUGCGAGUAAAACUUUUGCAACUGUUGCGAAAGUCACGACAAUGGUUAAUCGCGAGUUGGUUUUCUGCUACAACGGAACCUUUUGGUCUGGUCCUAUGAAACACCGUAUGAAUAGUAGUGGGUGGUGCAGGUUUCUGGUGUUCAGCUCGCCGCGGGUUAAAAACCUAGCACCUUCAAGUUGGUCAGGCAUGCAUUAUUUGGGCCCUACACGCAUCCCGUUAGCCCGGGCUU